UACGUAGGGUCCGAGCGUUGUCCGGAAUUAUUGGGCGUAAAGAGCUCGUAGGCGGUUUGUCGCGUCUGCUGUGAAAUCCCGAGGCUCAACCUCGGGUCUGCAGUGGGUACGGGCAGACUGGAGUGCGGUAGGGGGAGAAUGGAAUUCCUGGUGUAGCGGUGGAAUGCGCAGAUAUCAGGAGGAACACCGAUGGCGAAGGCAGGUCUCUGGGCCACUACUGACGCUGAGAAGCGAAAGCAUGGGGAGCGAACAGG
Molecule: ribosomal RNA, 254 nt
Filed under: uncultured bacterium
Lineage: Bacteria
Description: partial 16S ribosomal RNA
Rfam family: Bacterial small subunit ribosomal RNA
Source: RNAcentral